AUUGAACGCUGGCGGCAGGCUUAACACAUGCAAGUCGAGCGGAGAGAGGUAGCUUGCUACUGAUCUUAGCGGCGGACGGGUGAGUAAUGCUUAGGAAUCUGCCUAUUAGUGGGGGACAACAUUUCGAAAGGAAUGCUAAUACCGCAUACGUCCUACGGGAGGAAGCAGGGGAUCUUCGGACCUUGCGCUAAUAGAUGAGCCUAAGUCGGAUUAGCGAGUUGGUGGGGUAAAGGCCUACCAAGGCGACGAUCUGUAGCGGGUCUGAGAGGAUGAUCCGCCACACUGGGACUGAGACACGGCCCAGACUCCUACGGGAGGCAGCAGUGGGGAAUAUUGGACAAUGGGCGGAAGCCUGAUCCAGCCAUGCCGCGUGUGUGAAGAAGGCCUUAUGGUUGUAAAGCACUUUAAGCGAGGAGGAGGCUACUUUAGUUAAUACCUAGAGAUAGUGGACGUUACUCGCAGAAUAAGCACCGGCUAACUCUGUGCCAGCCGCCGCAGUAA
RNAcentral lists this ribosomal RNA (501 nucleotides) under uncultured bacterium. Its description in RNAcentral is "partial 16S ribosomal RNA". It matches the Rfam family "Bacterial small subunit ribosomal RNA", at positions 30 to 523 of the family's 1533-position model. The record is from RNAcentral.